GGGGAAUUGUUCGCAAUGGGCGCAAGCCUGACGACGCAACGCCGCGUGGAGGAUGAAGAUCUUCGGGUCGUAAACUCCUGUCGAAUGGGACGAAUAGAUUGCGGGUUAACAGCCCGUGAUCCUGACGGUACCGUUAAAGGAAACCCCGGCUAACUCCGUGCCAGCAGCCGCGGUAAUACGGGGGGGGUAAGCGUUGUUCGGAAUUACUGGGCGUAAAGGGCUCGUAGGCGGCCAACUAAGUCAUACGUGAAAUCCCUCAGCUUAACUGGGGAACUGCGUCUGAUACUGGUUGGCUUGAAUUCGGGAGAGGGAUGCAGAAUUCCAGGUGUAGCGGUGAAAUGCGUAGAUAUCUGGAGGAAUACCGGUGGCGAAGGCGGCAUCCUGGACCGAGAUUGACACUGAGGAGCGAAAGCCAGGGGAGCAAA
This 425-nucleotide ribosomal RNA is filed under the name uncultured bacterium. Its description in RNAcentral is "bacterial SSU rRNA". It matches the Rfam family "Bacterial small subunit ribosomal RNA", at positions 356 to 772 of the family's 1533-position model. The record is from RNAcentral.